Dunckerocampus dactyliophorus (ringed pipefish) is the source of this 220-nucleotide long non-coding RNA. RefSeq lists it as uncharacterized. The transcript is spliced from 3 exons. NCBI's taxonomy places the organism in Eukaryota, Metazoa, Chordata, Actinopteri, Syngnathiformes, Syngnathidae. The record is from RefSeq and is a predicted model, not a curated record.
CUCAGUCUUCCUCAGGGCCAUCCAUGACAUAGAUGUUGACGCUACCUGGUGAGCUAACUAGCUAGGACAAUAGGACACAGGACCACCAAGCAGCCAAGCAAAAGUCAACAUAACAUGCACGCUAAAAAGGAGUAAUGGACCAGGACGCCAGGACAUCUUCAGUGUGGACAAAGCAGCCAUCUACUUGAUCUAUGGCUGGCUGACAUUCUCGAGUGCCAAC